Sceloporus undulatus (fence lizard) is the source of this 382-nucleotide long non-coding RNA. RefSeq lists it as uncharacterized. The transcript has 3 exons. The record is from RefSeq and is a predicted model, not a curated record. NCBI's taxonomy places the organism in Eukaryota, Metazoa, Chordata, Lepidosauria, Squamata, Phrynosomatidae.
CCAGGAUGGCCCCAUCAUUGCUCUUCUUUCAGUGGCAUGUAAACAUUUUUUGUGCCAUCAGGGUUUUUAAAGGCUUUCAAAUGCUGAGCAAGUCAAAUAUCAAGGAGAACAUGAAGAUCCAACUGUUUCCUGGAAGACUCAAUGGAAUGUUGUCUGAAGUGGGAGUGGAAAAACAAGCUAAAAUUUAACUCAAACAAGAAGUGUGCAGAGAAAGAAAUAAUGACACUGCGGAGCUGAGAAACCUGUUUCACUUCCAUGACAGAAAAGAGACCAGAUGACAUAAUGGAAUCUUACCUUUUUGUAGCAUACUAGAAUGCCAAUAAAGUGUAGGUUUGAUCCUAAGAAAAUACAGCAAAGUCAUUUCUGAUGUCAUAUGUACGCU